Molecule: small RNA, 4072 nt
Filed under: Pongo abelii (Sumatran orangutan)
Lineage: Eukaryota; Metazoa; Chordata; Mammalia; Primates; Hominidae
Description: processed transcript
Source: RNAcentral
GCGGUGAGUGCUGCUCUUUCCGGCCUCGGGCGGUGGGGGGCGGGUGGGGACGCGCGGGCCUGCGGGGGCCCACUUCCUGAUGUGGCGGCCGGGCGAGGAAGGACGGGGCCUGAGGCCCUUCGGCUAAGGGUCGAGGGUCGCUGGGGGCUCUCUGCUUUCUACUCUCGCCACGGUUUUAUUGGAUUAGGAAGCCCCAACUUCGAGACAUGCAGUCAAAGCGAUUUUAAAAAUGACUUGUUUUCAAGCCUCCUCUGGCCGCCGCCCACUCUUCUGGCCUUUGGACUUUGACCAAGAUGUUUUCUCGCAGUUUUUGCAACGUUUUAAACUUAGCCCUCGGCGUUCUUGUAAUGUAAUACAUUGAAACGAAGAUAUUUCGGUGGCGGCGAUAUUUCAUAUUUCAUAGUUGCCACUGCGCUCUGUCAUUCCAGUAGUCGUCUGUUGUGUAUAGUGAGAAACAACUCUGGGAAAUUAUUGGAUUUACAGUCCUGAAGAAUCUCCCUAUCCGUAUUUUGUCCCCCUGCAGUAAUAAAUCCCAUUAUGGAGAUCUCGAAACUUUAUAAAGGGAUAUAGUUUGAAUUCUAUGGAGUGUAAUUUUGUGUAUGAAUUAUAUUUUUAAAACAUUGAAGAGUUUGCAGAAAGAAGGCUAGUAGAGUUGAUUACUGAUACUUUAUGCUAAGCAGUACUUUUUUGGUAAUACAAUAUUUUGUUAGGCGUUUCUGAUAACACUAGAAAGGACAAGUUUUAUCUUGUGAUAAAUUGAUUAAUGGUUACAACAUGACUGAUAAUUAUAGCUGAAUAGUCCUUAAAUGAUGAACAGGUUAUUUAGUUUUUAAAUGCAGUGUAAAAAGUGUACUGUGGAAAUUUUAUGGCUAAGUUUAUGGAGAAAAUACCUUCAGUUGAUCAAGAAUAAUAGUGGUAUACAAAGUUAGGAAGAAAGUCAACAUGAUGCUGCAGGAAAUGGAAACAAAUACAAAUGAUAUUUAACAAAGAUAGAGUUUACAGUUUGUGAACUUUAAGCCAAACUCAUUUGACAUCAAGCACUGUAACAGGCACAGGUUCAACAAAGGUUGUGGGUAUUGACUUCCCCAAAAGUUGUCAGCUGAAGUAAUAUAGCCCACUUAAGUAAAUACUAUGAUGAUAAGCUGUGUGAACUUAGCCUUUAAAUAGUGUGACCAUAUGAAGAUUUUAAUUAUUUUUGUUUAUUGGAAUAAAAUGAGAUUUUUUGGGAUGUCAUGUUAAAGUGCUUAUGGGGAAAGAAGGCUGCAUGUAAUUUUUUACCUUGUGGCAUAAUCAGUAAUUGGUCUGUUAUUCAGGCUUCAUAGCUUGUAACCAAAUAUAAAUAAAAGGCAUAAUUUAGGUAUUCUGUAGUUGCUUAGAAUUUUGAUAAUAUAAAUCUCUGUGAAGAAUCAAGGAGUUUUAACAUUUUCAGAAGCGCAUCCACCUUUCAGGGCUUUAGGUUAGUAUUACUCAAGAUUAUGAACAAAUAGCACUUAGGUUACUUAAAAGAGUUACUACAACCCCAAAGAGUUGUGUUCUAAGUAGUAUUUUUGGUAAUUCAGAGAGAUACUCAUCCUACCUGAAUAGAAACUGAGAUAAAUCCAGUAAAGAAAGUGUAGUAAAUUCUACAUAAGAGUCUAUCAUUGAUUUCUUUUUGUGGUAAAAAUCUCUUUUUGUGGAAGAAAUUUCAUGUGAAUGUUUUAGCUAUCAAACAGUACUAUCACCUACUCAUGCACAAAACUGCCUCCCAAAGACUUUUCCCAGGUCCCUCGUAUCAAAACAUAAGAGUAUAAUGGAAGAUAGCACGAUCUUGUCAGAUUGGACAAACAGCAACAAACAAAAAAUGAAGUAUGACUUUUCCUGUGAACUCUACAGAAUGUCUACAUAUUCAACUUUCCCCGCCGGGGUUCCUGUCUCAGAAAGGAGUCUUGCUCGUGCUGGUUUUUAUUAUACUGGUGUGAAUGACAAGGUCAAAUGCUUCUGUUGUGGCCUGAUGCUGGAUAACUGGAAACUAGGAGACAGUCCUAUUCAAAAGCAUAAACAGCUAUAUCCUAGCUGUAGCUUUAUUCAGAAUCUGGUUUCAGCUAGUCUGGGAUCCACCUCUAAGAAUACAUCUCCAAUGAGAAACAGUUUUGCACAUUCGUUAUCUCCCACCUUGGAACAUAGUAGCUUGUUCAGUGGUUCUUACUCCAGCCUUUCUCCAAACCCUCUUAAUUCUAGAGCAGUUGAAGACUUCUCUUCAUCAAGGACUAACCCCUACAGUUAUGCAAUGAGUACUGAAGAAGCCAGAUUUCUUACGUACCAUAUGUGGCCAUUAACUUUUUUGUCACCAUCAGAAUUGGCAAGAGCUGGUUUUUAUUAUAUAGGACCUGGAGAUAGGGUAGCCUGCUUUGCCUGUGGUGGGAAGCUCAGUAACUGGGAACCAAAGGAUGAUGCUAUGUCAGAACACCGGAGGCAUUUUCCCAACUGUCCAUUUUUGGAAAAUUCUCUAGAAACUCUGAGGUUUAGCAUUUCAAAUCUGAGCAUGCAGACACAUGCAGCUCGAAUGAGAACAUUUAUGUACUGGCCAUCUAGUGUUCCAGUUCAGCCUGAGCAGCUUGCAAGUGCUGGUUUUUAUUAUGUGGGUCGCAAUGAUGAUGUCAAAUGCUUUUGUUGUGAUGGUGGCUUGAGGUGUUGGGAAUCUGGAGAUGAUCCAUGGGUAGAACAUGCCAAGUGGUUUCCAAGGUGUGAGUUCUUGAUACGAAUGAAAGGCCAAGAGUUUGUUGAUGAGAUUCAAGGUAGAUAUCCUCAUCUUCUUGAACAGCUGUUGUCAACUUCAGAUACCACUGGAGAAGAAAAUGCUGACCCACCAAUUAUUCAUUUUGGACCUGGAGAAAGUUCUUCAGAAGAUGCUGUCAUGAUGAAUACACCUGUGGUUAAAUCUGCCCUGGAAAUGGGCUUUAAUAGAGACCUGGUGAAACAAACAGUUCAAAGUAAAAUCCUGACAACUGGAGAGAACUACAAAACAGUUAAUGAUAUUGUAUCAGCACUUCUUAAUGCUGAAGAUGAAAAAAGAGAAGAGGAGAAGGAAAAACAAGCUGAAGAAAUGGCAUCAGAUGAUUUGUCAUUAAUUCGGAAGAAUAGAAUGGCUCUCUUUCAACAAUUGACGUGUGUGCUUCCUAUCCUGGAUAAUCUUUUAAAGGCCAAUGUAAUUAAUAAACAGGAACAUGAUAUUAUUAAACAAAAAACACAGAUACCUUUACAAGCGAGAGAACUGAUUGAUACCAUUUUGGUUAAAGGAAAUGCUGCGGCCAACAUCUUCAAAAACUGUCUAAAAGAAAUUGACUCUACACUGUAUAAGAACUUAUUUGUGGAUAAGAAUAUGAAGUAUAUUCCAACAGAAGAUGUUUCAGGUCUGUCACUGGAAGAACAAUUGAGGAGAUUGCAAGAAGAACGAACUUGUAAAGUGUGUAUGGACAAAGAAGUUUCUAUUGUAUUUAUUCCUUGUGGUCAUCUGGUAGUAUGCCAGGAAUGUGCCCCAUCUCUAAGAAAAUGCCCUAUUUGCAGGGGUAUAAUCAAGGGUACUGUUCGUACAUUUCUCUCUUAAAGAAAAAUAGUCUAUAUUUUAACCUGCAUAAAAAGGUCUUUAAAAUAUUGUUGAACACUUGAAGCCGUCUAAAGUAAAAAGGGAAUUAUGAGUUUUUCAAUUAGUAACAUUCAUGUUCUAGUCUGCUUUGGUACUAAUAAUCUUGUUUCUGAAAAGAUGGUAUCAUAUAUUUAAUCUUUAUCUGUUUAUUUACAAGGGAAGAUUUAUGUUUGGUGAACUAUAUUAGUAUGUAUGUGUGGACCUAAGGGAGUAGUAUCACUGCUUGUUAUGUAUCAUUUCAGGAGUUACUGGAUUUGGUGUUCUUUCAGAAAGCUUUGAAUACUAAAUUACAGUGUAGAAAAGAACUGGAAACCAGGAACUCUGGAGUUCAUCAGAGUUGUGGUGCCGAAUUGUCUUUGGUGCUUUUCACUUGUGUUUUAAAAUAAGGAUUUUUCUCUUAUUUCUCCCCCUAGUUUGUGAGAAACAUCUCAAUAAAGUGCUUUAAAAAGA